UCCUAGAAACAGCUAAGGUGCAAGGGAACAAAAAGAUUAAGAAGGUUCCAACAUUGACUCCCUAAAUUAGCUGGCCGCUUGUAAAGAAUCGGUUUUCUUAACAAGCCUGCUUUCAGGUUUGAGUGGGAGAGCAAAUUCCGGGAAGUCCCAUAAAAAGGUAUGGAUUUAAUCAAUUGUGGAAUAGAUAUUCCCCAGACAAGAAGUCUCAUGGAGAGAAAUUCAAAGCAAUGUUAUAAUUCCAUUGGGCACCAAUGGAAAAAAAAAAUACUAGUAACCUUAUUGUUCUUUUUGGGCCUGUUUGAUUCUCCAAGGAUAUCACCCUGUUCAACGAGGAAAUUCAUGACUAUUGCCAAGGGAGCCAAGGCUGAGUACCAAAUGGCACAGUUGCAAUGAAUCCAGCACAGAAGCCCCACAUGGGAAAAAGAUUCUAUUCCAGAGCAACCUAAUGAGAAUCUCCAAGAACAAGAAAGAAAGAAAGAAAGAAAGAAAGAAAGAAAGAAAGAAAGAAAGAAAGAAAAAGAAAAAGAAUCUCUAGAGCAAGUCUGGAAAUGUACAUGCAUCACAAAUUUCCCUAGUGAUUCUUAUGUAAGUGGCUGACAGCAGAGUUCCCCAUAUCCAUCCUAUUGGAGAUGAUCUUUUCUUUCCUUUUAAUACAAACAUUCUAUAUCCUGAGAG
Long non-coding RNA from Leopardus geoffroyi (Geoffroy's cat), 675 nucleotides. RefSeq lists it as uncharacterized. NCBI's taxonomy places the organism in Eukaryota, Metazoa, Chordata, Mammalia, Carnivora, Felidae. The transcript is spliced from 3 exons. The record is from RefSeq and is a predicted model, not a curated record.